Athene cunicularia (burrowing owl) is the source of this 707-nucleotide long non-coding RNA. RefSeq lists it as uncharacterized. The record is from RefSeq and is a predicted model, not a curated record. NCBI's taxonomy places the organism in Eukaryota, Metazoa, Chordata, Aves, Strigiformes, Strigidae. The transcript is spliced from 3 exons.
GAGGGCGGCCCGGAGGGAAACUCCUCACGGCACCAGGACUGAUGUCCGCCCUUCCGAGCCAGAGGCCCAAGUGGGACAGCGGAGAGGCGAGGAAUGAGAAGAAGGAGGCGCAGGUCGCUGCGGGGCGUUGUGAGAGCAAGGUGUGGGGAUAAAGAAAGGGGGAAGAAAAACAAAACCCUGUAAACUCUGAGAUGAAUGAAGGCACCAGGAAGCUGCAGAGCUCCUCCCAGCUGCAGGGCUGCUCUGCAGGUUCGGUGGAAAUUGAAAGAAAGGAAGAAUUCAGCAGUACCCUAGAGGAUGACACCUGUCGAGUACAGGAACAGAUGUGAAAUAUUUUUUCCUUGACUAACACUAGACUCCAUAGAGGGCUGAUCAUUUCUAAGACCCAACUGGAAUUUCCCUUACUGCAUCAUGUGACUGUGGCCUCCAGUCCUUUCUCAGUGCAUCUCUGUUGACCUCCAUGCUGGUGUUCACCACUGCCAGGGCAUAAUGCUGACUCAGGUGGAAAUUACAGAAUCACAGUAUCAUUUAGGUUGGGAAGCACGUCUUGAGAUCACCUCGUCAAACCCUCCCUGCUGAAGCAAGCUUAGCUAGAACAGGUUGUCCAGGAACGUGUCUGGUCUGGUUUUGAGUAUCUCCAAGGAUGGAGACUCCACAACUUCUCUGGGCAACUGUGCCCAGAGUCUGUCACUCUAAUAGUAAAAAAG